Molecule: long non-coding RNA, 600 nt
Organism: Oreochromis aureus
Lineage: Eukaryota; Metazoa; Chordata; Actinopteri; Cichliformes; Cichlidae
Source: Ensembl
GGUUUACAGAAUGUUUCCAGGGUGGAACCAAUGUUCAGUCUGUUGUUUUGGGGUUGACAGUAUUUUCAGUUGCACGCCACACUUGAUAGAGGGCAGCAUGCUUUCUUCUGUCACUCGGUGGUAGAGCUAUGCAGACGCAUGCAACGAAGUUUUCCAGCUGUGAAAAGAAGUGACACUGCAAGAUGUGUUUUCAUUAACCCCUGCAAGUUAAUGCGGCCAAUGAGGAUGAAGUGGUGGCUUCUCUGCUGGCUGGUGUUUUUUCUGUCACACCAACCUUCUGCAUGUCCUCGUUCAACACCAGUCUGUAAGAAGAAACCACGUUCACAAGGUCAGGGUUUCUGCAAGGACAAGUAUACGAAAAGUGGACCAUUGAGGAGCUACAACAAAUUCUAGAGGAAGAAGAAAUUAACGGGACCAGUUCAUCAAUGAUUUCUGACAGUGUUGUUGCCCUACAGUAUAAACCCAAUGGUACCUUUGAAGGGCUUGACAUUUAUGCCAGCAAUAAUCAGGUAAGCCCAGGCCCGCCUCCUCCCAGCAGCACAGUGAGAGUUCAGCUGCCGAGUGAACUGAAAGCUGGACCGAACAACAAGGUUGUGUUCU